Molecule: ribosomal RNA, 605 nt
Filed under: uncultured bacterium
Lineage: Bacteria
Description: bacterial SSU rRNA
Rfam family: Bacterial small subunit ribosomal RNA
Source: RNAcentral
UAUCGACCCCUCUAGUAGCGAAGCUAACGCGUUAAGCAUCCCGCCUGUGGAGUACGGUCGCAAGACUAAAACAUAAAGGAAUUGACGGGGACCCGCACAGCGGUGGAGCGUGUUGUUUAAUUCGAUGGUAAACGAAGAACCUUACCCAGGUUUGACAUCCUUAGAAUUUCUCCGAAAGGAGAAAGUGCUUUUAGAGCUAAGUGACAGGUGCUGCAUGGCCGUCGUCAGCUCGUGUCGUGAGAUGUUUGGUUAAGUCCAUCAACGAGCGCAACCCUUAUAGUUAGUUGAAUUUUUCUAGCUAGACUGCCCUGGCACAGGGAGGAAGGAGGGGAUGAUGUCAGGUCAGUAUUGCCCUUACACCUGGGGCUACAACACGCUACAUGGCCGGUACAAAGGGCUGCCAAGUCGCGAGACGGAGCAAUCCCAUCAAAGCCGGUCCCAGUUCGGAUUGCAGGCUGAAACUCGCCUGCAUGAAGUCGGAAUCGCUAGUAACGGUAGGUCAGCUAUACUACCGUGAAUACGUUCCCGGGUCUUGUACACCCGCCCGUCAAACCAUGAAUCGCCAAUACCUGACGUGUGAGCUUGCCUCGCCCUAAGUAGGAAAU